Molecule: ribosomal RNA, 206 nt
Filed under: uncultured bacterium
Lineage: Bacteria
Description: partial 16S ribosomal RNA
Rfam family: Bacterial small subunit ribosomal RNA
Source: RNAcentral
UCUCAGUUCGGAUUGGAGCUGCAACCCGACUCCAUGAAGCUGGAUUCGCUAGUAAUCGCGCAUCAGCCACGGCGCGGUGAAUACGUUCCCGGGCCUUGUACACACCGCCCGUCAAGCCAUGGAAGCCGGGGGUGCCUGAAGUGCGCUGCCGCAAGGAGCGCCCUAGGGUAAAGCCGGUGACUGGGGCUAAGUCGUAACAAGGUAAC